RNAcentral lists this transfer RNA (56 nucleotides) under Bos taurus (domestic cattle). It matches the Rfam family "tRNA", at positions 6 to 65 of the family's 71-position model. Rfam says of the family: Transfer RNA (tRNA) molecules are approximately 80 nucleotides in length. Their secondary structure includes four short double-helical elements and three loops (D, anti-codon, and T loops). Lineage: Eukaryota; Metazoa; Chordata; Mammalia; Artiodactyla; Bovidae. RNAcentral also lists the same sequence under 4 other names. The record is from Rfam by way of RNAcentral.
AAUGGCUGAGUAAGCAUUAGACUGUAAAUCUAAAGACAGAGGUUUAAUUCCAUUUU